Trichosurus vulpecula (common brushtail) is the source of this 128-nucleotide small nuclear RNA. Lineage: Eukaryota; Metazoa; Chordata; Mammalia; Diprotodontia; Phalangeridae. The record is from RefSeq and is a predicted model, not a curated record.
GGGUUGCAUGAAAGGAGAGGAGCUUAGCACUCCCCUAGAUAAAGAUGAAGGAGGUCCUAGUGACCUUUACACCACAUAUACAGUUAAGGCAUUGCUACCUACUCUGUGGCAUCUAACAAUUUAAUAAU